AACAAAGUAGACAUUAUUGAAAAGAGACCCAUUGAAAUUGCAGCAUUUCAAUCUUUAGAAAGAAGAAGCAUAGAGCUGGAGAACAUUUUGCCAGGAAGGUCUGCUGCUAAUGUCAUCCCACCAAGCACUCACAUGUUUCCUGCUCCUUAUCAUAUACUCCUUUCCAAUUUGGUCCACCAAGUACUGAGUAAAUGGCAGAUGGCUAAGGUCAGCAAGGCUGAAGAAAUCACCAGCUAAGUACUUGUUCUUUGAUAGCCUAUCCUCGUAAACAUCCAGCACUUUGGCAAGCUUUUCCUCGUUCUCUUUGAUCAAAUUUUCAUCAGGAGGGAUCCCCAACUUGGGCGAAAGCAUGAUUUGAACAGUUAGGGCGAAAACUGGUGGGUUGUAGUUGUUUGCCUCAACGUCUAGCCAAUUUUCCACUAUACCCCUUUCCUCUAUUGUCUUUCCCAGCAGAUCAGUUCCCUGUGACUUGUAUUUUUCUGCAUAAUACCUCAAGAUGGCACGGGAUUCUGCACAACCCACAUUAUAAAAUUCAUCAUUUCAUUUCAUUUCAUUAAAAGAAAAAAAAAUUCUUGUUAGAAAGUGAUUCAGAUUAAUGGCAAAAGAGUAAGCACUCACAAAUUCAACUCUUCCUAGAUAGUUUGUGAGGCUUAGAUGAUCAUAUUCUUGCCAUUAUAUAUAGACAUAUUAAUAUGUAAAAAUCUUGUCCAAGAGUUCAAGUGAAAUUCUCCCUGACUGUCACUUUCAUUAUAAAUCAAAAUGAUAAUGGUAAAAGCCUUUUAAGUGAUACUGAGUGGAACCCACUUUUUCUAUCUUCGUGCAAGAUUUACUUCAAUAAUUGAUGCUGAUGCAUAGUAACUAAACCUGAUCAUGGAUCAGGUAGGAUUAAUUCAAAAGUCCUACUUAGGGCCCAACCCAGUCUGUCUGAGUCCAAGAGACCCAUUAUUUUAAAAUAUAUUAAAUAUUUAAAAUAUCUGAAAAUCUUAUUAUUUUAAAUAUAUUUUAAAAUUAAAAUCAAAUAAAAAUAAAUUUUAUUAAUAAAAUAAAAUUUCAGGUCAAGAUCGGAUAUAUCUAAAAUUUGAUUCGAGCUCAAUUAGACUAGCAAAUCAGACAAAUAUCUCAAAUAAUGGAUAUUUUUAAUUUAAUAGGAUUAUUUUUUUUUUUCAGCACAAUCUGAUGCCAAACUCAAAAAAUUCAUCUAAAACUCUUUUUUCUUUUAUGAUCAUAAUUUUAUAUAUUUUUCAUUUUAUCUUUUCAAUACAAUCACAAAACGAAUAUGAAACACUACAAACUAGAUGAAUUGUUAAGAGGCAGAGUAUUAUUAACAAACACUCAAUUCAAUGAUUCCAUGAGCUAUAAUUAAUGGUUCAUUUGAUAUGUGUUGGGGAGAAGAUAUGAUCAUGUCAAUUUACAGGUAAUUAGAGAAAGGAUAUUAAUUACCAAAUAAAGUAUAGUCUCCAUCUUGAACGACAGGAACUGUGCCAAAAGGCUGCAAAAAUCAGAAAACAAGAGAUGAUUGUAAACAUGAUCCUCACUGAGAACUUGGAACUUUUGAAAGAAAAGAAGGAAAAGGUUUAGCUGACCUGCAACUUGAGAAAUUCAGGGUGUUUGUUCUCGCCUUUGAGCAAAUCAAUCGGCACAGUCUCAAACUCAAUCUCCUUUUCAAUAAGACACACAAGCACACGCUUAGGGGAAGCAUAGGCUGGGCCAUAAACCUUCACCACCAUUGUUGUUGAUUGACUGUUUUACUUAUUGAAUUGUUCAAUGCAUAUCACUGAGUUUAUGGCCUCAUCAAUUUUAUAGAACUGGCUGCAAUCAUAGAUGUUCUUUAGUGUCGGAGGGUGGGACAUGACAGCUCCUCUGAUUUUACCUAUUUAGACCUUACAUACCUAAAAUAAACUUAUUAAAGUGCCUAAUUUAGGGGAAAUUUAUCAUUAUAUAACUUUAUAGAUAAAAAUAUAAUUUCUUUCCUUCGAAUUAUUAGGAUCGAUACUUUCAGCAUUAAAAUCAAAUUUAUCAUUAUAUUACGAUUCAUUAUUGAAUUUUAUCGGUAUACAUUUAAUUUCAAUGAUUUUUAGAUAAAAAGCAAGUAACGAAAUUAAAAUAUUUCAAUAAUACAAUUGAUUUUUUUUUCAAUUUCAUAACUUUUUGCCUAAAAAUCCACAAAAUUGAAAAAGUAAUAGCAAGAUUCAAUGAAAUUGAAAUUCAAUAUUUAACUUAAUAGUAUAAUGAUGAUAAAUUUAUCCUUAAUCCCAAUAUAUAUAUAUAUAUAUAUAUUCUGAUUUCAAUAUAACAUGUCAUGAUAUUUUCUUUCACAAUUGAAAUAGCAUUAAUAAUGAAUUCAAAAUUUAAAUAGGCUAAUUUAUAUAAUUAUUUUUAAAAUAUAAUAUUUAAUAUGUUUAAAAUUUAAAUUUAAGCAUAUAUAAUUCAUUCUUUUAUCCUUAAAGUAAGAUUCUUUUUAUAUAAAAAAAAUCUUUAGUGUAAGUAAUAAAAUAAAAAUUUUCAUUAAGUUUUCAAGUUGUAUGAAUUUAUAAUUGAUGUUAUACCUUUAGGUCAAGACUCAAGGGAUAGAGCUAGGUUGCCUAAAAGAAGAGUGUCCGUCAUAAUUAAAAUUUUUUUUUUAUUUAUUCUCAUAAUUGAAGAUUUUGAUAAUUAUCCGCUCAUUUUUUUCCUUGGGAUCAGCACGACCAUUGGAUGGGCCGCAUACAUAGAAAAGACAUGAUUUGUGGUUUUGAUGUUUCUCUUUGUUAGUUAAUGGAAGUAACUUUUCUUGUUCAUCGUCAAACAUAUAACAAAUCCAACCAAAAAAAAAGAAACAAGAAUUUGAUCCCUAAUCUGGUUUAUUUUUAAUAGACAGCUGAAGAGUUAUCUUUAACGGGCCAUGACUUUAGAGAUAUGUGGUGGAAAUUUUGUUUGAUUGCGGAAAGGGGAUUUCUUUUCAAUAAUGCAAGUUAUCUUUUUUCAAUAUCAUAACUUUUUAUCUAAAAGCUUACAAAAUUGAAAAGGUUAUCGCACGAUUCAAUGAAAUUGAAAUUCAUGAACAAAAUUCAAUAUUAACUUAAUAUUGUAAUGAUAAAUUUAUCCUUAAUCUCAAUAUAUUUUUAGAAUUUUUUUAAAAAUUUUCCUAUUUUAACUAUUGUUAUGGACAUGGUGGUUGUUUAAAAAGUAAUGUUUAGCAUCUUUUCCAAGGUUAAAAGAUAAACACAGGACGAUUAGAACAAGGAAUGAAUAUCCAGAUGGUUUUAGUGCAGUGGACAAUCAGGCAAGGUUGGUUGGGUGGCUGCUAAUUGUUGUCCUGCAAUGGAGAAAACCUUCCUUGAAUGCAUAAGGCAACAAAUCCCCGUAUACCCUUUGUUUUUAAUUACAAUUGUCCAAUAAUGCAAAAUCAUACUUGGAGGGUAUCUUGCAACUGUGAUAAAUAAAGAAAGGCUAAAGGAGGUUUUGUUGGGGUUUGUAAUUGACGAGAAACUAGAUAAUAAAGAAUAAAUUUGGUGAUUUGAAUAUUUGUGUUAUGUAAAAUAUUAAAAUUAAUUAUAUUAUAUUUUAUAAAAAAUUAUGUAUUAUAAUUUAUAUUGAUAUGAAAAUAUAAAAUAUAUAUUUUUUAAUUUUAUUAAAUUUAUAUAUAAUUAUUGUUAAAUUUAUGUAUCAUAUUUAUAUAAUAUUAUUAUGUUAUAUAUUAAAUUAUCAAAUCUUACUAAAAACAAUCACAAUACAUUAGCCACACUCGGAAUAACCAAUAUUACAGAACAAAAAUUACUAACCGAUUACCACCAAACCAAAAAAUUUAUCCACUCUGUCCUGCCUUUGCCAAGGCAUCCGCCAUGCCUUAAGGCCUCUCUAUAAAGCAAUCCCAGACAUCAAAGCACCCAUUUCAGCAUAGAUAAGAUGUAGUACGUCUCCAUGGCCUUGGCCCCACCAAAAAUUAUAUAUUAAUUCAGUCGUUUUUGCUUUUGAAGUUUUUGUUUUAAACUUUCGUGCCCUUUAAUUUUUGAAAAAUAAAUGAACUUUCAUUAUCCAAUAUCAUGAUUCGACUAAAAACUUUCACUUUUUAGAUUGGACUACUUUUAAAAAACAUAUACAAGGCCUAGCGUGAUCUUUGAAAUUUUCAGUUUUUGGAUUUGACUGGUUUUUUAAAAACUUAAUCCAAGGCCUAGCCCGAUCUGAAGGAUCUAAAAGCCUGAAAUUUUUCGAACAAAAUUUUCAGGUAUAAGUUUUUUUUUUAAGAAAAUCCCUCCAUAUGUAAAUUCUUCUUUAUUCAUACCAUCUAUCAAACAUAGGAAAAGACAACUAAAAAUAUAAAAACCCCCUUAAUCAUCAUUUUAUUUGAUUAUAGUUUAUCAGAAUAGGAUAAUAAGUUCUCUUAAGGCAGAUACAACAAGAGCUGAAAGCAAACUGCCGAUUAACAAAGUAGAUAUUAUUGAAAAGAGGCCGUUGAAAUUGCAUCGCUUCAAUUUUUAGAAAGGAAAAACAUAGAGCUGGAGAACCUUUUGCCAGGAAGGUCUGCUGCUAAUAUCAUCCCACCAAUCACUCACAUGUUUCCUGCUCCUUAUCAUGUACUCCUUUCCCAUGUGUUCCACCAAGUACUGAGUAAAUGGCAGAUGGCUAAGGUCAGCUAGGCUGAAGAAAUCACCAGUUAAGUACUUGUGUCACGAAUUUAAAAAAGAGUCUUAAAUCUCACAUCGAACAUAAUAGGAGAGUUUUUGAGGU
Molecule: long non-coding RNA, 4707 nt
Filed under: Durio zibethinus
Lineage: Eukaryota; Viridiplantae; Streptophyta; Magnoliopsida; Malvales; Malvaceae
Description: long non-coding RNA (DZIB_LNC001764)
Source: RNAcentral